UACGAAGGGGACUAGCGUUGUUCGGAAUCACUGGGCGUAAAGGGCGUGUAGGCGGGACGGUAAGUCGGGCGUGAAAUCCCUAGGCUCAACCUAGGAACUGCACUCGAAACUACCAUUCUUGAGUGUCGGAGAGGAAAGCGGAAUUCCUGGUGUAGAGGUGAAAUUCGUAGAUAAUCAGGAGGAACACCAGUGGCGAAGGCGCUUCGUGGACGAUAACUGACGCUGAGACGCGAAAGCGUGGGGAGCAAACAGG
Molecule: ribosomal RNA, 253 nt
Filed under: uncultured bacterium
Lineage: Bacteria
Description: partial 16S ribosomal RNA
Rfam family: Bacterial small subunit ribosomal RNA
Source: RNAcentral